This 63-nucleotide transfer RNA is filed under the name Oplophorus typus. Its description in RNAcentral is "tRNA-Val". Lineage: Eukaryota; Metazoa; Arthropoda; Malacostraca; Decapoda; Oplophoridae. The record is from RNAcentral.
UAAGUUGUAGCUAAGUUAAGCACUUCACUUACAUUGGAGGGAUCACCUAUAGGUGCUACUUAA